CUUUUGCUGUCAAGUAGCUAGGGUGGGCUCGGCUGGGGCGAGGAGGGGCGCCGGGUGGGGAGAUGCGCUCCCAGGUGUUUGCAGCGGAAGUGGGAAACCUGUAGGUUAUGGUCCAGCUGUGCCGCGCCGAGGCGAGCAGGAGCAGGGAACAGAUACCCACUUUGGAUCGUUUCUGAAACUGAAUUCAGAACAAUCUUAAGGCAUAGAAGCAGCAUUGACUCAGGCCAGCCGAAUUUGGAAGAUGUAAAUCCCCCAGCUCGCAGCACAGAAUGCGUUAUUUGAGAGUAUUGCGAUGCAGAGAGCCAGCUUUACUGUCAUCUAACCUGCUCUCCCCAGAAGGUUGGCUGAAGGAUGGGAGCGGCUGUGCCUGCUUCUGAGGUCACAGCUUGAAGUCCUUUUAACUUGCUUUCUGCUGCAGGAGAGAGGCAUAUUGUGGUAUAACUGUCGCUGCAUUUAUUCAAACGGACAAUUUGCAAUAAAUAUUAUACCCAGAACAACAGAACACUCCACCAUAUGAGAGUUCACAGCCUAAAGAUGUGGCCUAAUGAAUUCAGAACACAUCUGUAUAUUCUCUGUGAGUGGUGGAAAUAUUCCAACCUUCACUUAAAAC
RNAcentral lists this long non-coding RNA (610 nucleotides) under Equus asinus (donkey). RNAcentral describes it as "lncRNA (ENSEASG00005035987.1)". Lineage: Eukaryota; Metazoa; Chordata; Mammalia; Perissodactyla; Equidae. The record is from RNAcentral.